GACAACCUACUUGGAUAACUGUGGUAAUUCUAGAGCUAAUACAUGCACCAAAGCUCCGAUCCUCGCGGAGAGGAGCGCAUUUGUUCGCCACAAAACCAAGCGCCCAUCUGGGCGUCCAGUGCUGAACCAGAACAACUCAGCUGAUCGCACGGUCUUGUACCGGCGACGUGUCUUUCAAGUGUCUGCCUUAUCAACUUUCGAUGGUAGUGUACCUGACUACCAUGGUUGUGACGGGUAACGGAGGAUAAGGGUUCGACUCCGGAGAAGGGGCCUGAGAAAUGGCCACUACGUCUAAGGAUGGCAGCAGGCGCGCAAAUUACCCACUCUCAACGCGAGGAGGUAGUGACGAGAAAUAACGAGACCGUUCUCAUACGAGGCCGGUUAUUGGAAUGGGUACAAUUUAAA
Molecule: ribosomal RNA, 405 nt
Filed under: unidentified nematode Sourhope farm
Lineage: Eukaryota; Metazoa; Nematoda
Description: SSU rRNA
Rfam family: Eukaryotic small subunit ribosomal RNA
Source: RNAcentral